Molecule: long non-coding RNA, 930 nt
Organism: Bombus impatiens (common eastern bumble bee)
Lineage: Eukaryota; Metazoa; Arthropoda; Insecta; Hymenoptera; Apidae
Exons: 4
Source: RefSeq, a predicted model, not a curated record
UUUGGUCCAGGCCCUGCGACUUGUGCACCAGCUCGAACGCUUUCUCCACGUCUCCUGGCUCUUGAAAUCGGCGCAUGAUCAUCGCGUUCAAUUCUGGAUACUAUGAUAGAAAAACGAAGGAGGCGAAAAGAACUGGAGCAGUUGCAAGACCUAACUUCAAAUCUGCUGCGGUAGGUUUGCCCAUUGUUGACAAAGACGACACGAAAUCCAAAAGAUCGUCGACUAAUUGAAAUGCUAAACCGAUGUUCCUACCGUAUUGGAAGGCUAAUUCGACCAACUGUUCAUCACCACCAGCUAGCAUAGUCACCUACGUUCAAAAUACAUAAUUCUUCGUAUUAAAAACUGUUUCGACCUGUACGAAAGGAUUAAAUAUCAAGAUCAACAUGACAGUACAUACCGCUUUCAAGGAAUUAGCAACUAAGCUGGCCGUCUUGCGAUAUGUUUUUGUGAGGUAAUGCGCGAAUCUCUCGUUUUCCGUCUCCUUAGAGCCAAGCUGCAUAAAUUCACCCUGCACCAGGUCCGUCACGACCUGGAAAGCACCUGGACUUGUCAAUACUUAUCAUCAGGGUUAUAUCAGGAUCCUAGAGCAUGUGAAUACUCUUACGUAUCCGUACAAAUAUCAACGUAUUAAUUAACAGCACAUAUGGUUUGCGGACUUUACCUGACUGAGCGUGAGGGUGACAUCGUCAUUUUGCAGUUGAGCUAUCAUAAUUGACGCGACUGCCAGAACGUAAUCUCCUGUCAUGGUCACCUGAAAAUUGAGCAACAAAUCAUGAAAACAUACAUUAAGAUAUUUUUCCAGAGGAUAAAAAUACGGAGAAGUUUGUUUAAGAUUAAGUAAAAUGAAAUGAUCCGAUCUUUCUCGUGGAAAGUAAUCCUGGCAUUUUAAUUGCCAAAAUGCGCAGUCGUUCAAUAAAGACAAUUAACGAA